Molecule: non-coding RNA, 26 nt
Filed under: Homo sapiens (human)
Lineage: Eukaryota; Metazoa; Chordata; Mammalia; Primates; Hominidae
Source: RNAcentral
UAACCUUCCCGAAAAGAUGCAGCGUG